RNAcentral lists this ribosomal RNA (449 nucleotides) under uncultured bacterium. RNAcentral describes it as "partial 16S ribosomal RNA". It matches the Rfam family "Bacterial small subunit ribosomal RNA", at positions 29 to 523 of the family's 1533-position model. The record is from RNAcentral.
AACGAACGCUGGCGGCAUGCCUAACACAUGCAAGUCGAACGAGACCUUCGGGUCUAGUGGCGCACGGGUGCGUAACGCGUGGGAAUCUACCCUUGGGUUCGGAAUAACAGUUAGAAAUGACUGCUAAUACCGGAUGAUGACGUAAGUCCAAAGAUUUAUCGCCCAAGGAUGAGCCCGCGUAAGAUUAGCUUGUUGGUGGGGUAAUGGCCUACCAAGGCGACGAUCUUUAGCUGGUCUGAGAGGAUGAUCAGCCACACUGGGACUGAGACACGGCCCAGACUCCUACGGGAGGCAGCAGUGGGGAAUAUUGGUCAAUGGGCGAAAGCCUGAUCCAGCAAUGCCGCGUGAGUGAUGAAGGCCUUAGGGUUGUAAAGCUCUUUUACCAGGGAUGAUAGUGACAGUACCUGGAGAAUAAGCUCCGGCUAACUCCGCGCCAGCCGCCGCGGUAA